GAUUAGUUUUAUUCUUGCUUGAAAUUAUUUGCUUUUGAAUUAUUUAUAUGUAAGUUUUUGCAUUAUUAAUUAAGUAUCUUGAUGAUUUUAUUAUUUAUGUUGCAGUAAAGAUUUUUAUUAAUUGAUAGUAAUAUUGAUUUAGUAAUUUUGAUUUAUUAUUGGUAAAAUUUGUGCCAGCAUCCGCGGUUAUACAAAAAAUAUAAGUGAAUAUUUUUGGUUAAAAUAGUUAUAUAUAUUUAUUUGAAGUUUUGUUUUUAUUUAUUAGGUGAAAUUUUAAUUUUUAUUAAAACUUUAUUAUAUUUGAGGCUAUGAAAUCUUUAAUUGUAAACUAGGAUUAGAUACCCUAUUAUUUUUGAUAUAAAUUAUUUAUAACCUGAGUAGUAUUAGUUAUGUUCUUGAAACUUAAAGAAUUUGGCGGUAUUUUAGUCUGUUUAGAGGAAUCUGUCCCUUAAUCGAUAAUUCACGUUGAACCUUACCAUAUUAUUGUAUGUAUACCGCCGUUAUAAUGGCGAUCUUUUUAGGGUUAUAGAAGAAUUUUCUUAAUUUAGUUAUUUUAAUUUAUUUCAGGUCAAGGUGCAGCUAUAUAUUUUGGUGGAGAUGGAUUACAUUUAUAUUAGUAUUUGGAUUAUUUAGUGAAAUUUUAAUGUGAAAUUGGAUUUAAUUGUAAUUUUUUGAAGAUUAUAAGGGUGAAUAUUAGCUCUAUAAUAUGUACACAUCGCCCGUCACUCUCAUUAUUAAUUUGAGAUAAGUCGUAACAUAGUGGCUGUACUGGAAGGUGUAGCUGGUUUGAU
This 791-nucleotide non-coding RNA is filed under the name Deropeltis paulinoi. Lineage: Eukaryota; Metazoa; Arthropoda; Insecta; Blattodea; Blattidae. The record is from RNAcentral.